RNAcentral lists this ribosomal RNA (483 nucleotides) under uncultured bacterium. RNAcentral describes it as "partial 16S ribosomal RNA". It matches the Rfam family "Bacterial small subunit ribosomal RNA", at positions 28 to 523 of the family's 1533-position model. The record is from RNAcentral.
GACGAACGCUGGCGGCGUGCUUAACACAUGCAAGUCGAACGAUGAAGCUGGAGCUUGCUCCGGUGGAUUAGUGGCGAACGGGUGAGUAACACGUGAGCAAUCUGCCCUUGACUCUGGGAUAACUGCGGGAAACUGUAGCUAAUACCGGAUACGAGGCUCGAAGGCAUCUUCGGGUCUGGAAAGAAUUUCGGUCAAGGAUGAGCUCGCGGCCUAUCAGCUUGUUGGUGAGGUAAUGGCUCACCAAGGCGACGACGGGUGGCCGGCCUGGGAGGGUGACCGGCCUCACUGGGGCUGAGACACGGCCCAGACUCCUACGGGAGGCAGCGGUGGGGAAUAUUGGACAAUGGGCGAGAGCCUGAUGCAGCAACGGCGCAUGAGGGAUGAAGGCCUUCGGGUUGUAAACCGUUUUUAGCAGGGAAGAAGCGAAAGUGACGGUACCUGCAGAAAAAGCACCGGCUAACUACGUGCCAGCCGCCGCCGUAA